UGGGCCGGUAGCUCAGUGGAAGAGCACCGGACUUUUAAUCCGGGUGUCGUGGGUUCGAGUCCCACCCGGCUCAA
Molecule: transfer RNA, 74 nt
Filed under: Chloroflexota bacterium
Lineage: Bacteria; Bacillati; Chloroflexota
Description: Chloroflexi bacterium tRNA-Lys
Rfam family: tRNA
About the family: Transfer RNA (tRNA) molecules are approximately 80 nucleotides in length.
Source: RNAcentral